GACGAACGCUGGCGGCGUGCCUAAUACAUGCAAGUAGAACGCUGAAGCGAGGAGCUUGCUCUUCUUGGAUGAGUUGCGAACGGGUGAGUAACGCGUAGGUAACCUGCCUUGUAGCGGGGGAUAACUAUUGGAAACGAUAGCUAAUACCGCAUAACAAUGGAUGACACAUGUCAUUUAUUUGAAAGGGGCAUUUGCUCCACUACAAGAUGGACCUGCGUUGUAUUAGCUAGUAGGUGAGGUAACGGCUCACCUAAGCGACGGUACAUAGCCGACCUGAGAGGGGGGUCGGCCACACUGGGAAUGGGACACGGCCCAGACUCCUACGGGAGGGAGCAGGAGGGGAACAUCGGCAAUGGGGGCAACCCUGACCGAGCAACGCCGCGGGAGGGAAGGAGGGUUUCGGAGCGGAAAGCUCUGUUGUAAGUCAAGAACGAGUGUGAGAGUGGAAAGUUCACACUGUGACGGUAGCUUAACAGAAAGGGACGGCUAACUACGUG
RNAcentral lists this ribosomal RNA (497 nucleotides) under uncultured bacterium. Its description in RNAcentral is "partial 16S ribosomal RNA". It matches the Rfam family "Bacterial small subunit ribosomal RNA", at positions 28 to 507 of the family's 1533-position model. The record is from RNAcentral.